RNAcentral lists this long non-coding RNA (201 nucleotides) under Helianthus annuus (common sunflower). RNAcentral's name for it is "sRNA HanXRQr2_Chr12g0556151". The record is from RNAcentral. Lineage: Eukaryota; Viridiplantae; Streptophyta; Magnoliopsida; Asterales; Asteraceae.
GUUGGGGGCUACUUUAAAAAAAAAUUCCUUUAUAAAUACUUACCACAUUUAACAUUUUUCUCACACAAUAUCAAACACAUAAAACACAAUAUUGCCAUGAGUUCUUCAAGUUAUAGUGAAUCGUCUUCAUCAUCUGACGAUGGUGGCGAAUAUUGGCAAUGUCUUGUCGACUAUGGGACAAGGAUCAGAUUGGAAACGUGA